GACGAACGCUGGCGGCGUGCUUAACACAUGCAAGUCGAACGGAAAGGCCCCUUUGGGGGUACUCGAGUGGCGAACGGGUGAGUAACACGUGAGUAACCUGCCCUUGACUUCGGGAUAACUUCAGGAAACUGGGGCUAAUACCGGAUAGGAAUCCUUGCUGCAUGGUGGGGGUUGGAAAGCUUCGGCGGUUUUGGAUGGACUCGCGGCUUAUCAGCUUGUUGGUGGGGUAGUGGCUUACCAAGGCUUUGACGGGUCGCCGGCCUGAGAGGGCGACCGGCCACAUUGGGACUGAGAUACGGCCCAGACUCCUACGGGAGGCAGCAGUGGGGAAUAUUGCACAAUGGGCGGAAGCCUGAUGCAGCAACGCCGCGUGCGGGAUGACGGCCUUCGGGUUGUAAACCGCUUUCAGCAGGGGCGAAGCUUGUGGUGACGGUACCUGCAGAAGAAGCACCGGCUAACUACGUG
This 465-nucleotide ribosomal RNA is filed under the name uncultured bacterium. Its description in RNAcentral is "partial 16S ribosomal RNA". It matches the Rfam family "Bacterial small subunit ribosomal RNA", at positions 28 to 507 of the family's 1533-position model. The record is from RNAcentral.